CGCCUGUUUAUUAAAAACAUGGUUUUUAUAUUUUUUUUAAAAUUUAACCUGCCCAUUGAUUUUUAUAUUGAAAGGCCGCAGUAUUUUGACUGUGCUAAGGUAGCAUAAUCAUUAGGUUUUUAAUUGAAAUCUGGAAUGAAUGGUUUGAUGAGAUAUAGACUUUUUUAUUUUAAAUAAUUGAAUUUUAAAUUUUAGUUAAAAUGCUAAUAUUGUUAAAUGGGACGAGAAGACCCUAUAGAAUUUUAUAAUUAUUAUAUAAUUUAAAAGUUUUAUAUUAAAUUUUAUUAUUAUAUAUUAUUUAUUUUAUUGGGGAGAUAUUUAAAUUUAUAAAACUUUAAAAUUAAUUAUUUCAUAAAUUAAUGUUUAUUUGAUCUUUUUUUAUUGAUUAUUAUUUUAAAUUACCUUAGGGAUAACAGCAUAAUAUUUUUAAGAAGUUCUUAUUUUUAAAAAAAAUUAUGACCUCGAUGUUGGAU
This 473-nucleotide ribosomal RNA is filed under the name Arthrocnodax sp. Artsp1_3. RNAcentral's name for it is "partial large subunit ribosomal RNA". The record is from RNAcentral. Lineage: Eukaryota; Metazoa; Arthropoda; Insecta; Diptera; Cecidomyiidae.